RNAcentral lists this unclassified non-coding RNA (240 nucleotides) under soil metagenome. Its description in RNAcentral is "partial contains 5.8S ribosomal RNA, internal transcribed spacer 2, and large subunit ribosomal RNA". The record is from RNAcentral.
AACGAGGCCGACCUGCGGCUGAGUUACCUGCGGAGGGAUCAUUACAGAGUUGCAAAACUCCCUAAACCAUUGUGAACGUUACCUAAACCGUUGCUUCGGCGGGCGGCCCGGGUCCUUCCCGGCGCCCAUCGGCCCUCGCGGGCGCCCGCCGGAGGUAAACCAAACUAUUGCAUUGUAUGGCCUCUCUGAGUCUUCUGUACUGAAUAAGUCAAAACUUUCAACAACGGAUCUCAGAUCGGA